Molecule: ribosomal RNA, 460 nt
Filed under: uncultured bacterium
Lineage: Bacteria
Description: bacterial SSU rRNA
Rfam family: Bacterial small subunit ribosomal RNA
Source: RNAcentral
ACUCCUACGGGAGGCAGCAGUGGGGAAUAUUGCACAAUGGGCGCAAGCCUGAUGCAGCCAUGCCGCGUGUAUGAAGAAGGCCUUCGGGUUGUAAAGUAACUUUCAGCAGUGAGGAAGGCGGAGUCGUUAAUAGCGGCCUCGUUUGACGUUAGCUGCAGAAGAAGCACCGGCUAACUCCGUGCCAGCAGCCGCGGUAAUACGGAGGGUGCGAGCGUUAAUCGGAAUUACUGGGCGUAAAGCGCAUGCAGGUGGUUUGUUAAGUCAGAUGUGAAAGCCCGGGGGCUCAACCUCGGAAUUGCAUUUGAAACUGGCAGACUAGAGUACUGUAGAGGGGGGUAGAAUUUCAGGUGUAGCGGUGAAAUGCGUAGAGAUCUGAAGGAAUACCGGUGGCGAAGGCGGCCCCCUGGACAGAUACUGACACUCAGAUAGCGAAAGCGUGGGGAGCAAACAGGAUUAGAUA